This 497-nucleotide ribosomal RNA is filed under the name uncultured bacterium. Its description in RNAcentral is "partial 16S ribosomal RNA". It matches the Rfam family "Bacterial small subunit ribosomal RNA", at positions 28 to 507 of the family's 1533-position model. The record is from RNAcentral.
GAUGAACGCUGGCGGCGUGCCUAAUACAUGCAAGUCGAGCGAACGGACGAGAAGCUUGCUUCUCUGAUGUUAGCGGCGGACGGGUGAGUAACACGUGGAUAACCUACCUAUAAGACUGGGAUAACUUCGGGAAACCGGAGCUAAUACCGGAUAAUAUUUUGAACCGCAUGGUUCAAAAGUGAAAGACGGUCUUGCUGUCACUUAUAGAUGGAUCCGCGCUGCAUUAGCUAGUUGGUAAGGUAACGGCUUACCAAGGCAACGAUGCAUAGCCGACCUGAGAGGGGGUGCGGCAACACGGGAAGUGGGACACGGUCCGGACUCUCGCGGGGGGCAGCAGGGGGGAUUUUCCCGCAAGGGGCGAAGGCCUGAGGGAGCAACGCGGGGGGGGUGAGGAAGGUCUUGGUAUGUAAAAACUCUUUUAUUGGGGAAAAAAAUAUUGGAAAGUACUUGUCCACACCUGCCGGUUCCAUAAUAAGAAGGCCAGGCCUAACUACGUC